CAGUAGCCGCGGGAAUACGAAGGGGGCUAGCGUUGCUCGGAAUGACUGGGCGUAAAGGGCGCGUAGGCGGUUUAUACAGUCAGAUGUGAAAUUCCUGGGCUCAACCUGGGGACUGCAUUUGAUACGUAUGGACUUGAGUGGAGAAGAGGGUCGUGGAAUUUCCAGUGUAGAGGUGAAAUUCGUAGAUAUUGGAAAGAACACCGGUGGCGAAGGCGGCGACCUGGUCUUUAACUGACGCUGAGGCGCGAAAGCGUGGGGAGCAAACAGGAUUAGAUACCCCUGUAGUCCCUGUCUCUUAUAC
RNAcentral lists this ribosomal RNA (301 nucleotides) under uncultured bacterium. RNAcentral describes it as "partial 16S ribosomal RNA". It matches the Rfam family "Bacterial small subunit ribosomal RNA", at positions 509 to 807 of the family's 1533-position model. The record is from RNAcentral.